UACGUAGGGUGCAAGCGUUAAUCGGAAUUACUGGGCGUAAAGCGUGCGCAGGCGGCUUUGCAAGACAGAUGUGAAAUCCCCGGGCUUAACCUGGGAACUGCAUUUGUGACUGCAAGGCUGGAGUGCGGCAGAGGGGGAUGGAAUUCCGCGUGUAGCAGUGAAAUGCGUAGAUAUGCGGAGGAACACCGAUGGCGAAGGCAAUCCCCUGGGCCUGCACUGACGCUCAUGCACGAAAGCGUGGGGAGCAAACAGG
This 253-nucleotide ribosomal RNA is filed under the name uncultured bacterium. Its description in RNAcentral is "partial 16S ribosomal RNA". It matches the Rfam family "Bacterial small subunit ribosomal RNA", at positions 524 to 776 of the family's 1533-position model. The record is from RNAcentral.